ACUCCUACGGGAGGCAGCAGUGGGGAAUAUUGCACAAUGGGCGCAAGCCUGAUGCAGCGACGCCGCGUGAGGGAUGACGGCCUUCGGGUUGUAAACCUCUGUUAGCAGGGAAGAAGAGAGAUUGACGGUACCUGCAGAG
This 139-nucleotide ribosomal RNA is filed under the name uncultured Actinomycetes bacterium. Its description in RNAcentral is "uncultured actinobacterium partial 16S ribosomal RNA". It matches the Rfam family "Bacterial small subunit ribosomal RNA", at positions 335 to 486 of the family's 1533-position model. Lineage: Bacteria; Bacillati; Actinomycetota; Actinomycetes. The record is from RNAcentral.